GGGUGGCAAAUUUUGCUAUAAUAAGAAUAAUAAUAACUAGAAAAGUUACAAUUUCAGGGGAAAUUGUGUGAAGUGUUCUUGCCUCCACCAGUAGUCUAUAACUGGAGUGGGCGGAGUAACUGUUAUCAUUUAUAUAGCACAUUUAAUUGCAACGUUGUUGCACAGUUACAUUAAACCAUACAUUUCUAAAACAUUAGCAGGUGUUCAAAAGGCCCUGUCUAUGACAUCACUUUCUGCUGCAGCCUUGACAGGUCAGAGUAUUUUGGUGGUUGCCAUCUUCAAACGGUCAUAUUUUAAAAACUAUAAAUCCUACAGC
This 316-nucleotide long non-coding RNA is filed under the name Pelobates cultripes (western spadefoot toad). The record is from RNAcentral. Lineage: Eukaryota; Metazoa; Chordata; Amphibia; Anura; Pelobatidae.